This 965-nucleotide ribosomal RNA is filed under the name Staphylococcus aureus. RNAcentral's name for it is "partial 23S ribosomal RNA". It matches the Rfam family "Bacterial large subunit ribosomal RNA", at positions 1286 to 2247 of the family's 2925-position model. The record is from RNAcentral. Lineage: Bacteria; Bacillati; Bacillota; Bacilli; Caryophanales; Staphylococcaceae.
AAGUGAGAAUGCCGGUGUGAGUAGCGAAAGACGGGUGAGAAUCCCGUCCACCGAUUGACUAAGGUUUCCAGAGGAAGGCUCGUCCGCUCUGGGUUAGUCGGGUCCUAAGCUGAGGCCGACAGGCGUAGGCGAUGGAUAACAGGUUGAUAUUCCUGUACCACCUAUAAUCGUUUUAAUCGAUGGGGGGACGCAGUAGGAUAGGCGAAGCGUGCGAUUGGAUUGCACGUCUAAGCAGUAAGGCUGAGUAUUAGGCAAAUCCGGUACUCGUUAAGGCUGAGCUGUGAUGGGGAGAAGACAUUGUGUCUUCGAGUCGUUGAUUUCACACUGCCGAGAAAAGCCUCUAGAUAGAAAAUAGGUGCCCGUACCGCAAACCGACACAGGUAGUCAAGAUGAGAAUUCUAAGGUGAGCGAGCGAACUCUCGUUAAGGAACUCGGCAAAAUGACCCCGUAACUUCGGGAGAAGGGGUGCUCUUUAGGGUUAACGCCCAGAAGAGCCGCAGUGAAUAGGCCCAAGCGACUGUUUAUCAAAAACACAGGUCUCUGCUAAACCGUAAGGUGAUGUAUAGGGGCUGACGCCUGCCCGGUGCUGGAAGGUUAAGAGGAGUGGUUAGCUUCUGCGAAGCUACGAAUCGAAGCCCCAGUAAACGGCGGCCGUAACUAUAACGGUCCUAAGGUAGCGAAAUUCCUUGUCGGGUAAGUUCCGACCCGCACGAAAGGCGUAACGAUUUGGGCACUGUCUCAACGAGAGACUCGGUGAAAUCAUAGUACCUGUGAAGAUGCAGGUUACCCGCGACAGGACGGAAAGACCCCGUGGAGCUUUACUGUAGCCUGAUAUUGAAAUUCGGCACAGCUUGUACAGGAUAGGUAGGAGCCUUUGAAACGUGAGCGCUAGCUUACGUGGAGGCGCUGGUGGGAUACUACCCUAGCUGUGUUGGCUUUCUAACCCGCACCACUUAUCGUGGUGG